UGAUCAGAGUGAGUAAAUAUACAAGAAAGGUUUUAUCAGCAAAAAGAACAAUAAUGGUAGUGAAAAGCAGGUUUCCUUCGAACUAAAAGGGAUUGUGUUUGAGAUGCGUAAUUUUCCCAAGGAAUCCAAAGUUCUCUACUAAUCAGAUCUGCUCUGAACUUGUUUUCCUGGUACUGUCCUGUCUUUCCGAGAGAUUCAAGAAGAACGAAACGCGCUUGAAGCAAUUGAAGAGCUCGGCCGGACAGUUCAACUGAAUCAAG
RNAcentral lists this long non-coding RNA (260 nucleotides) under Phoenix dactylifera (date palm). RNAcentral's name for it is "long non-coding RNA (PDAC_LNC000057)". The record is from RNAcentral. Lineage: Eukaryota; Viridiplantae; Streptophyta; Magnoliopsida; Arecales; Arecaceae.